UACGUAUGGAGCAAGCGUUAUCCGGAUUUACUGGGUGUAAAGGGAGCGCAGGCGGCUUUGCAAGUCUGAUGUGAAAGGCCGGGGCUCAACCCCGGGACUGCAUUGGAAACUGUAAAGCUAGAGUGCCGGAGAGGUAAGCGGAAUUCCUAGUGUAGCGGUGAAAUGCGUAGAUAUUAGGAGGAACACCAGUGGCGAAGGCGGCUUACUAGACGGCAACUGACGCUGAGGCUCGAAAGCGUGGGGAGCAAACAGG
RNAcentral lists this ribosomal RNA (253 nucleotides) under uncultured bacterium. RNAcentral describes it as "partial 16S ribosomal RNA". It matches the Rfam family "Bacterial small subunit ribosomal RNA", at positions 524 to 776 of the family's 1533-position model. The record is from RNAcentral.